AUUUAAGUAGCUUAAGACAAUCAAAGCGUAAUAUUGAAGAUAUUAAAAUAACUAUAAGAGUUUUUAAAUA
This 70-nucleotide transfer RNA is filed under the name Trialeurodes vaporariorum (greenhouse whitefly). RNAcentral's name for it is "tRNA-Phe". Lineage: Eukaryota; Metazoa; Arthropoda; Insecta; Hemiptera; Aleyrodidae. The record is from RNAcentral.